This is a long non-coding RNA of Sinocyclocheilus anshuiensis, 267 nucleotides long. RefSeq lists it as uncharacterized. The transcript has 3 exons. NCBI's taxonomy places the organism in Eukaryota, Metazoa, Chordata, Actinopteri, Cypriniformes, Cyprinidae. The record is from RefSeq and is a predicted model, not a curated record.
CCAGUUUCAGCCAAUAGAGGGGCCAGAAGCAGAACCAUCACAGGACCAGAACGAGAAAAGCAUUAAAGGAGAAAUGAAGGUUGCAGUAUUUGUGCUGGUUUUGAUAUGCCUGGGCAGUGCAUGGUCAUGUGCAGGAUCCCAGCCUCUUGAUAGCAGCUCACCAAAUGACAUCCAGAAGUUUAGCCGUCGCUAUGCUGAAUCAACCAUUGCGAGUGACAUCAGCAAAAUUGUGGACUUGAUGGUUCAGAAAAACUUUGUAAACUUUCU